GACGAACGCUGGCGGCGUGCCUAAUACAUGCAAGUAGAACGCUGAAGAGAGGAGCUUGCUCUUCUUGGAAGAGUUGCGAACGGGUGAGUAACGCGUAGGUAACCUGCCUUGUAGCGGGGGAUAACUAUUGGAAACGAUAGCUAAUACCGCAUAACAAUGGAUGACCCAUGUCAUUGAUUUGAAAGGGCAACUGCUCCACUACAAGAUGGACCGGCGUUGUAUUAGCUAGUAGGUGAGGUAACGGCUAACCUAGGCGACGAUACAUAGCCGACCUGAGAGGGUGAUCGGCCACACUGGGACGUAGACACGGCCCAGACUCCCACGGGAGGCAGCAGUAGGGAAUCUUCGGCAAUGGGGUCAACCCUGACCGAGCAACGCCGCGUGAGUGAAGAAGGUUUUCGGAUCGUAAAGCUCUGUUGUAAGUCAAGAACGAGUGUGAGAGUGGAAAGUUCACACUGUGACGGUAGCUUACCAGAAAGGGACGGCUAACUACGUGCCAGCCGCCGCCGUAA
This 512-nucleotide ribosomal RNA is filed under the name uncultured bacterium. Its description in RNAcentral is "partial 16S ribosomal RNA". It matches the Rfam family "Bacterial small subunit ribosomal RNA", at positions 28 to 523 of the family's 1533-position model. The record is from RNAcentral.